RNAcentral lists this ribosomal RNA (460 nucleotides) under uncultured bacterium. RNAcentral's name for it is "partial 16S ribosomal RNA". It matches the Rfam family "Bacterial small subunit ribosomal RNA", at positions 338 to 795 of the family's 1533-position model. The record is from RNAcentral.
CCUACGGGUGACAGCAGUGAGGAAUAUUGGUCAAUGGCCGUAAGGCUGAACCAGCCAAGUCGCGUGAAGGAAGAAGGAUCUAUGGUUUGUAAACUUCUUUUAUAGGGGAAUAAAGGUAUCCACGUGUGGCUUUUUGCAUGUACCCUAUGAAUAAGCAUCGGCUAACUCCGUGCCAGCAGCCGCGGUAAUACGGAGGAUGCGAGCGUUAUCCGGAUUUAUUGGGUUUAAAGGGUGCGUAGGUGGUUUUUUAAGUCAGAGGUGAAAGUUUGUGGCUCAACCCUGGAAUUGCCGUUGAAACUGGAAGGCGUGAGUGUGUUUGAGGUAGGCAGAAUGCGUGGUGUAGCGGUGAAAUGCAGAGAUAUCACGCAGAACACCGAUUGCGAAGGCAGCUUACUAAGCCAUAACUGACGCUGAAGCACGAAAGCGUGGGGAUCAAACAGGAUUAGAUACCCCUGUAGUC